CCUGAAGUGUCUUUGGAGACAUCUGAGAUUCAGUGGCCUUUGGGGAUCCCCAAGCUUCAGAUGUGACAUAAAAGCUUAUCCAAAGUCAGCAGGAUUGCUCAGAAUGGAGAACUGUACAGCCUGGAGAUUCUCCUGUGACAGCUGAUGAUGAAGUGAAUUUGCUCUACAUAACUGACAGUUGCUGCUGUUUCCAUAGCCCAGGGAUUAUUGCAAGGCUUCUGACUUGGCACUGCCUGUCACAGGGAGGUGCUGCCAACCUUCAUGACUCCCAGCAUCUCUUGGCUCUGGACUCCCAGGCACUGGCCCCCAAUCCUUAAGGGUCUGGUGCUCAGGGUACUGCAGACAUCGUCUGCAUGUGGCAUGGUUCAAAGGAGGACAUGGAUUAGGACUUCAGCAUUUCUCCUUCCUGGAAAAACACUGAAUUUGUCCAGUAGUUGCUGGUGAGUGCAGGUGGUGAAGCUUUCUUGCUGUGGGAUGGGUGUGGGAUCUCUAAAUGAAAUGGUAUUAUAUUAAAAAUCACUCUUUUUCUGUUGACUUGUUCUUCUCCUUUGAGAAAUACUUUGCUUAUCAUGCUUCUGUCAUUUAAGUAGAUGUCAUUAAUUAUCUGGAAAUAUUGACUUUUCAGACUGAGGGCAAAUGGAGAAGAGAGGCUCUGGGCUCGCAGUUUAUUGCUUGUCUGCUCAGACAUGCUGUAGGGGGCUGUCCCCAUCCUCCUCAGGAUGGAUUUUGCUCAAGUAUCUCCUAAAACUAUGCUGAGACUACACACUAAGACAGUACACAGUUCUGGAUAUUUGCUGGCAAAGGUAGUUUAGGGUCUCCUCUCUGCCUCUGG
Molecule: long non-coding RNA, 832 nt
Filed under: Numida meleagris (helmeted guineafowl)
Lineage: Eukaryota; Metazoa; Chordata; Aves; Galliformes; Numididae
Description: lncRNA (ENSNMEG00000020041.1)
Source: RNAcentral